GUUUGAUCCUGGCUCAGAAUCAACGCUGGCGGCGUGCCUAACACAUGCAAGUCGAACGAGAAAGUGGAGCAAUCCAUGAGUAAAGUGGCGACCGGGUGAGUAACACGUGACUAACCUACCUUCGAGUGGGGGAUAACAUCGGGAAACCGAUGCUAAUACCGCAUAACAUCGCAAGAUCAAAGCAGCAAUGCGCUUGAAGAGGGGGUCGCGGCUGAUUAGCUAGUUGGCGGGGUAACGGCCCACCAAGGCGAAGAUCGGUAUCCGGCCUGAGAGGGCGCACGGACACACUGGAACUGAAACACGGUCCAGACUCCUACGGGAGGCAGCAGUGGGGAAUUUUGCGCAAUGGGGGAAACCCUGACGCAGCAACGCCGCGUGGAGGAUGAAGCCCCUUGGGGCGUAAA
RNAcentral lists this ribosomal RNA (404 nucleotides) under uncultured bacterium. RNAcentral's name for it is "bacterial SSU rRNA". It matches the Rfam family "Bacterial small subunit ribosomal RNA", at positions 11 to 429 of the family's 1533-position model. The record is from RNAcentral.